AUGAACGCUAGCUACAGGCUUAACACAUGCAAGUCGAGGGGCAGCAUGGUCUUAGCUUGCUAAGACUGAUGGCGACCGGCGCACGGGUGAGUAACACGUAUCCAACCUGCCGUCUACUCUUGGACAGCCUUCUGAAAGGAAGAUUAAUACAAGAUGGCAUCAUGAGUCCGCAUGUUCACAUGAUUAAAGGUAUUCCGGUAGACGAUGGGGAUGCGUUCCAUUAGAUAGUAGGCGGGGUAACGGCCCACCUAGUCUUCGAUGGAUAGGGGUUCUGAGAGGAAGGUCCCCCACAUUGGAACUGAGACACGGUCCAAACUCCUACGGGAGGCAGCAGUGAGGAAUAUUGGUCAAUGGGCGAGAGCCUGAACCAGCCAAGUAGCGUGAAGGAUGACUGCCCUAUGGGUUGUAAACUUCUUUUAUAAAGGAAUAAAGUCGGGUAUGCAUACCCGUUUGCAUGUACUUUAUGAAUAAGGAUCGGCUAACUCCGUGCCAGCAGCCGCGGUAAUACGGAGGAUCCGAGCGUUAUCCGGAUUUAUUGGGUUUAAAGGGAGCGUAGAUGGAUGUUUAAGUCAGUUGUGAAAGUUUGCGGCUCAACCGUAAAAUUGCAGUUGAUACUGGAUAUCUUGAGUGCAGUUGAGGCAGGCGGAAUUCGUGGUGUAGCGGUGAAAUGCUUAGAUAUCACGAAGAACUCCGAUUGCGAAGGCAGCCUGCUAAGCUGCAACUGACAUUGAGGCUCGAAAGUGUGGGUAUCAAACAGGAUUAGAUACCCUGGUAGUCCACACGGUAAACGAUGAAUACUCGCUGUUUGCGAUAUACAGCAAGCGGCCAAGCGAAAGCGUUAAGUAUUCCACCUGGGGAGUACGCCGGCAACGGUGAAACUCAAAGGAAUUGACGGGGGCCCGCACAAGCGGAGGAACAUGUGGUUUAAUUCGAUGAUACGCGAGGAACCUUACCCGGGCUUAAAUUGCAGAUGAAUUACGGUGAAAGCCGUAAGCCGCAAGGCAUCUGUGAAGGUGCUGCAUGGUUGUCGUCAGCUCGUGCCGUGAGGUGUCGGCUUAAGUGCCAUAACGAGCGCAACCCUUGUUGUCAGUUACUAACAGGUUCCGCUGAGGACUCUGACAAGACUGCCAUCGUAAGAUGUGAGGAAGGUGGGGAUGACGUCAAAUCAGCACGGCCCUUACGUCCGGGGCUACACACGUGUUACAAUGGGGGGUACAGAGGGCCGCUACCACGCGAGUGGAUGCCAAUCCCCAAAACCUCUCUCAGUUCGGACUGGAGUCUGCAACCCGACUCCACGAAGCUGGAUUCGCUAGUAAUCGCGCAUCAGCCACGGCGCGGUGAAUACGUUCCCGGGCCUUGUACACACCGCCCGUCAAGCCAUGGGAGCCGGGGGUACCUGAAGUGCGUAACCGCGAGGAGCGCCCUAGGGUAAAACUGGUGACUGGGGC
RNAcentral lists this ribosomal RNA (1448 nucleotides) under uncultured organism. Its description in RNAcentral is "16S ribosomal RNA". It matches the Rfam family "Bacterial small subunit ribosomal RNA". The record is from RNAcentral.